This 279-nucleotide ribosomal RNA is filed under the name uncultured bacterium. RNAcentral's name for it is "partial 16S ribosomal RNA". It matches the Rfam family "Bacterial small subunit ribosomal RNA", at positions 78 to 354 of the family's 1533-position model. The record is from RNAcentral.
CUUUUCUCCGCCGGCGACCGGCGCACGGGUGAGUAACACGUAUGCAACCGUGCCCCUGUCAGGGGGACAACCCGCCGAAAGGCGGGCUAAACCCGCGUACAUGCCACCGGGGCAUCCCGGAGGCAGGAAAGGACUUCGGCCGGACAGGGAUGGGCAUGCGGCGCAUUAGGCAGUAGGCGGGGUAACGGCCCACCUAACCGACGAUGCGUAGGGGUUCUGAGAGGAAGGUCCCCCACACUGGUACUGAGACACGGACCAGACUCCUACGGAAGGCAGCAG